UCCAGAUGAUGAUGAUGCUCCACAGAUUCA
This 30-nucleotide non-coding RNA is filed under the name Mus musculus (house mouse). Lineage: Eukaryota; Metazoa; Chordata; Mammalia; Rodentia; Muridae. The record is from RNAcentral.